Molecule: ribosomal RNA, 253 nt
Filed under: uncultured bacterium
Lineage: Bacteria
Description: partial 16S ribosomal RNA
Rfam family: Bacterial small subunit ribosomal RNA
Source: RNAcentral
UACGUAGGGUCCGAGCGUUGUCCGGAAUUAUUGGGCGUAAAGAGCUCGUAGGCGGUUUGUCGCGUCUGCUGUGAAAUCCCGAGGCUCAACCUCGGGUCUGCAGUGGGUACGGGCAGACUGGAGUGCGGUAGGGGAGAAUGGAAUUCCUGGUGUAGCGGUGGAAUGCGCAGAUAUCAGGAGGAACACCGAUGGCGAAGGCGGGUCUCUGGGCCGAUACUGACGCUGAGGAGCGAAAGCGUGGGGAGCGAACAGG